This is a long non-coding RNA of Vitis riparia (riverbank grape), 633 nucleotides long. RefSeq lists it as uncharacterized. The record is from RefSeq and is a predicted model, not a curated record. The transcript has 5 exons. Lineage: Eukaryota; Viridiplantae; Streptophyta; Magnoliopsida; Vitales; Vitaceae.
CUUCUGUGGGCGGGCAGACAGGCUUGUGUCUCUUUGAUUUCGAAAUUACUCAGUAGUGACUUCCACUUCCCAACCAUACUUCCAAGCAAUACAGGGAUAAGGAAACCGGGGCACCAAAUCUUUACUCUCCUCAUUCCUCGGUAGUCAGCACACAGGUCUCUAAGGGUUUUAAAAUUUGGGACUCAUCUUUUCUUUUCUCAUUUCUUAUCCAUGUCUUAACCAUACUUUGGAUUCCCAGGGGGCAUCAGUGGAAUUGCUACAUCUUGAAUAGCGUUGAAAGAUUAGCAUCAGCGGUUCUCCGAUUCCUUGGCUUUCAGAUAUGCUUUCAGGACAUGUAGGAAGAGAAUUGAUUGGACGAGGACUUAUUGUCUUAGUAUUUCAGAAUAGUAUGGCAAAGGUUGCUACGGCUGGUCCUUUAUCUUCUGACUCUUCGUUUUGGUGGGGUUCUGGGAAGGUGGGGCAGGAGUUAAAAGGAAGACACCAUCUGAAUUGAGAGGAGAGCAGUUAAAGCAAAGGAACGUUAUAGAGCUUGUAGAUGAAUCUCUGGCUCCUUUGCUUGGUUCUACAAAGAACACAAUUGAGCUCAAGAAACAAGAUGCAUUGAAGUUCCAAGAUGCAUUGACACCCGUAUGG